RNAcentral lists this ribosomal RNA (1217 nucleotides) under metagenome. Its description in RNAcentral is "bacterial SSU rRNA". It matches the Rfam family "Bacterial small subunit ribosomal RNA", at positions 132 to 1321 of the family's 1533-position model. The record is from RNAcentral.
UGAAGAUGGGGAUAACCUGCCGAAAGGCGGGCUAAUACUGAAUGUGGCUUUCCCGGGCAUCCGGGAAGGACUGAAGACGGGGAUUCUUCGGAACCUGUCACUUCAGGAGGGGCCCGCGUCCCAUCAGCUUGUUGGUGAGGUAACGGCCCACCAAGGCUUACGGGUAGCUGGUCUGAGAGGAUGGUCAGCCACACUGGGACUGAGACACUGCCCAGACUCCUACGGGAGGCUGCAGUCGAGGAUUAUUUGCAAUGGGCGAAAGCCUGACAGUGCGACGCUGCGUGGAGGAUGAAGGCCUUCGGGUUGUAAACUCCUGUCAUUCGGGAACAAGAGCGGGGGGGGUGAAUAAUCCCUCUGAUUGAUGGUACCGGAAGAGGAAGCCACGGCUAACUCUGUGCCAGCAGCCGCGGUAAUACAGAGGUGGCGAGCGUUGUUCGGAUUUACUGGGCGUAAAGGGUGCGUAGGUGGUUCUGUGUGUCGGAUGUGAAAUCCCACUGCUCAACGGUGGAACUGCAUUCGAAACUGCAGGGCUAGAGUGCGGGGGAGGAGAGCGGAAUUCUAGGUGUAGCGGUGAAAUGCGUUGAUAUCUAGAAGAACACCGGUGGCGAAGGCGGCUCUCUGGAACGUAACUGACACUGAGGCACGAAAGCUGGGGGAGCAAACAGGAUUAGAUACCCUGGUAGUCUCAGCCCAAAACGGUGUACAUUUGUUGUUGGCGGAUUUGACCCCGCCAGUGACGGAGCUAACGCGUUAAAUGUACCGCCUGGGGAGUACGGCCGCAAGGUUAAAACUCAAAGAAAUUGACGGGGGCCCGCACAAGCGGAGGAGCAUGUGGCUUAAUUCGAUGCAACGCGAAGAACCUUACCUGGGCUUGACAUGCAGCUGCAGUCCCGAUGAAAGUCGGGAGGCCUUCGAGGGUGCUGCACAGGUGCUGCAUGGCUGUCGUCAGUUCGUGCCGUGAGGUGUUUGGUUAAGUCCAGCAACGAACGCAACCCCUGUGUUUAGUUGCCACCCCCGACGAUGAGUCGGGGAGCACUCUAGACAGACUGCCCGUGUAAGCGGGAGGAAGGUGGGGAUGACGUCAAGUCAGUAUGGCCCUUACGCCCAGGGCUGCACACGUGCUACAAUGGGAACUACAGAAGGAUGCGAGACCGCGAGGUGGAGCAAAUCCUCAAAAGUUCCCUCAGUUCUGAUUGAAGUCUGCAACUCGACUUCAU